This 511-nucleotide ribosomal RNA is filed under the name uncultured organism. Its description in RNAcentral is "SSU rRNA". It matches the Rfam family "Bacterial small subunit ribosomal RNA", at positions 50 to 509 of the family's 1533-position model. The record is from RNAcentral.
AAGACAUGCAAGUCGAACGAAGUACACCAUUGAAGUAAAUUGAAAUUGGAGAGCUUGCUCAAAGAUGGAUAUUUAUGGAUUUGGAUCCUGUACUUAGUGGCGGACGGGUGAGUAACACAUGGGUUAUCUGCCUUUAAGUUGGGGGACAACAGUUGGAAACGACUGCUAAUACCGAAUGUGACAGAAAUGUUAAAGGAGCUCUAAAGCUUCGCUUAAAGAUGAGCCUGUGGCGUAUUAGCUAGUUGGUGGGAUAAUGGCCUACCAAGGCAAUGAUGCGUAGCCGGACUGAGAGGUCGAUCGGCCACACUGGGACUGAGACACGGCCCAGACUCCUACGGGAGACAGCAGUUAGGAAUAUUCGGCAAUGGGGGAAACCCUGACCGAGCAAUGCCGUGUGAGUGAUGAAGGCCCUUUGGGUUGUAAAACUCUUUUAUUUGGAAAGAAUUGUAAGUAUAGGAAAUGAUGCUUACUUGACGGUACCAUUUGAAUAAGCCCCGGCUAACUACGUGCC